UGCCCGAAGGGUGACGAUGCGACGCCGCGUGAGCGAAGAAGGCCCUAGGGUUGUAAAGCUCUGUCAGGGGUUAAGAAAUGUAGAUAGGUUAAUACCCUGUUUAUUUGACAAAAGCCCCAAAGGAAGCCACGGCUAACUCUGUGCCAGCAGCCGCGGUAAUACAGAGGUGGCAAGCGUUGUUCGGUAUUAUUGGGCGUAAAGAGCACGUAGGUGGUUUUGUAAGUCAGAUGUGAAAGCCUUCUGUUCAAAGGAAGAACGGCAUCUGAAACUGCAAAUCUUGAGUGUAGGAGGGGAGAGUGGAACUUCUGGUGGAGCGGUGAAAUGCGUAGAUAUCAGAAGGAACGUCGGCGGCGAAAGCGACUCUCUGGCCUAUUACUGACACUGAGUGUGCGAAAGUUAGGGGAGCAAACGGGAUUAGAUACCCCGGUAGUCCUAACCGUAAACGAUGGGCACUAAGUAGAGGGGU
This 466-nucleotide ribosomal RNA is filed under the name uncultured Planctomycetota bacterium. RNAcentral describes it as "bacterial SSU rRNA". It matches the Rfam family "Bacterial small subunit ribosomal RNA", at positions 372 to 829 of the family's 1533-position model. The record is from RNAcentral. Lineage: Bacteria; Pseudomonadati; Planctomycetota.